UGUAGGUGUGAAUGGCCAGCACAGAACACUCAGUUGACUCUCUUUGGUUUUGGUUUCAGGGUGUGUGUGUGUGUGUGUUUUAAUGGUGCUGGGGUUGUGUUCUACCAUUGAGCUACCUCCCCAGCCAACAGCGAACUAGCUUAACAGCUUUGUUUGUCCUAUAGGGUUUGGGAUGUGUGCCAGGGUCACCUGACAGACAAAAUGGCAUUUCAGCCAAGAUGGCUGUAGUCAUGUCAGCUGGAGCCCCAUACCAGGCCACCUUGCAAGGUAGUGAGACAGCUGGAUCUGAUCCCAAAUCCCAGGCCAGAGAUUG
Molecule: long non-coding RNA, 313 nt
Filed under: Marmota monax (woodchuck)
Lineage: Eukaryota; Metazoa; Chordata; Mammalia; Rodentia; Sciuridae
Source: RNAcentral